Mus musculus (house mouse) is the source of this 432-nucleotide long non-coding RNA. RefSeq annotates it as predicted gene, 53522. The record is from RefSeq and is a predicted model, not a curated record. The transcript has 3 exons. Lineage: Eukaryota; Metazoa; Chordata; Mammalia; Rodentia; Muridae.
UGCAUGAAUGUGAGGAUGAGCUAUUUUAAGCUUUACUGUGCAUGCCAUUUGUGUGUGUGUGUGUCAUUUUUCACUGACAAUAAGCUUCUAACCAUGUAAUUAGCAAAUGGCUGGUACUACUAACCUUAAAAGAAAGCUAGCACUUUCUCAACUAUCAAAUAAGACAUAAAGUUCCGGAAGAACGAGCUGCAGGUGCUCCAUUCAUCGGAACCACAGAGAGGCCUAACUACACAGCUCAUCUUAAGAACCCUUCUCAGCCUAAGUGCUCACCCUACCAUCCUGGUGGGCAGCCAGAGCUGAUAUAAAACACCUCUGGACACGGAAAGCUCAACUCAAACAACCGGCUGGCCGUUUAGUAGGUACUAAUUUCCUUCCAAAUGAAUUCUAAUCCCAUUUGAUUUCACCAUGUAAAAGGCUGCUGAGAUGGCUCCC